GUUAAGUUGCAGGGUAUAGACCCGAAACCCGGUGAUCUAGCCAUGGGCAGGUUGAAGGUUGGGUAACACUAACUGGAGGACCGAACCGACUAAUGUUGAAAAAUUAGCGGAUGACCUGUGGCUGGGGGUGAAAGGCCAAUCAAACCGGGAGAUAGCUGGUUCUCCCCGAAAGCUAUUUAGGUAGCGCCUCGUGAAUUCAUCUCCGGGGGUAGAGCACUGUUUCGGCUAGGGGGCCAUCCCGGCUUACCAACCCGAUGCAAACUGCGAAUACCGGAGAAUGUUAUCACGGGAGACACACGGCGGGUGCUAACGUCCGUCGUGAAGAGGGAAACAACCCAGACCGCCAGCUAAGGUCCCAAAGUCAUGGUUAAGUGGGAAACGAUGUGGGAAGGCCCAGACAGCCAGGAUGUUGGCUUAGAAGCAGCCAUCAUUUAAAGAAAGCGUAAUAGCUCACUGGUCGAGUCGGCCUGCGCGGAAGAUGUAACGGGGCUAAACCAUGCACCGAAGCUGCGGCAGCGAACGUAUCACCCAAGACAACUUUACGGAGUUGACGAUUGACGGAGCGAAGCGACGUCAAAGCGUUCAUUAAAGUCGAGUUGGCUUAGGGAUACGUUCGUUGGGUAGGGGAGCGUUCUGUAAGCCUGUGAAGGUGUGUCGUGAGGCAUGCUGGAGGUAUCAGAAGUGCGAAUGCUGACAUAAGUAACGAUAAAGCGGGUGAAAAGCCCGCUCGCCGGAAGACCAAGGGUUCCUGUCCAACGUUAAUCGGGGCAGGGUGAGUCGACCCCUAAGGCGAGGCCGAAAGGCGUAGUCGAUGGGAAACGGGUUAAUAUUCCCGUACUUGGUGUUACUGCGAAGGGGGGACGGAGAAGGCUAUGUUGGCCGGGCGACGGUUGUCCCGGUUUAAGCGUGUAGGUGUGUGUUCCAGGUAAAUCCGGUUCACUUUAACACUGAGGCGUGACGACGAGGCACUACGGUGCUGAAGCAACAAAUGCCCUGCUUCCAGGAAAAGCCUCUAAGCAUCAGGUAACACGAAAUCGUACCCCAAACCGACACAGGUGGUCAGGUAGAGAAUACCAAGGCGCUUGAGAGAACUCGGGUGAAGGAACUAGGCAAAAUGGUGCCGUAACUUCGGGAGAAGGCACGCUGACACGUAGGUGAAGUGAUUUACUCAUGGAGCUGAAGUCAGUCGAAGAUACCAGCUGGCUGCAACUGUUUAUUAAAAACACAGCACUGUGCAAACACGAAAGUGGACGUAUACGGUGUGACGCCUGCCCGGUGCCGGAAGGUUAAUUGAUGGGGUCAGCGUAAGCGAAGCUCCUGAUCGAAGCCCCGGUAAACGGCGGCCGUAACUAUAACGGUCCUAAGGUAGCGAAAUUCCUUGUCGGGUAAGUUCCGACCUGCACGAAUGGCGUAAUGAUGGCCAGGCUGUCUCCACCCGAGACUCAGUGAAAUUGAACUCGCUGUGAAGAUGCAGUGUACCCGCGGCAAGACGGAAAGACCCCGUGAACCUUUACUAUAGCUUGACACUGAACAUUGAGCCUUGAUGUGUAGGAUAGGUGGGAGGCUUUGAAGUGUGGACGCCAGUCUGCAUGGAGCCGACCUUGAAAUACCACCCUUUAAUGUUUGAUGUUCUAACGUGGACCCGUAAUCCGGGUUGCGGACAGUGUCUGGUGGGUAGUUUGACUGGGGCGGUCUCCUCCUAAAGAGUAACGGAGGAGCACGAAGGUUGGCUAAUCCUGGUCGGACAUCAGGAGGUUAGUGCAAUGGCAUAAGCCAGCUUGACUGCGAGCGUGACGGCGCGAGCAGGUGCGAAAGCAGGUCAUAGUGAUCCGGUGGUUCUGAAUGGAAGGGCCAUCGCUCAACGGAUAAAAGGUACUCCGGGGAUAACAGGCUGAUACCGCCCAAGAGUUCAUAUCGACGGCGGUGUUUGGCACCUCGAUGUCGGCUCAUCACAUCCUGGGGCUGAAGUAGGUCCCAAGGGUAUGGCUGUUCGCCAUUUAAAGUGGUACGCGAGCUGGGUUUAGAACGUCGUGA
This 2034-nucleotide ribosomal RNA is filed under the name Salmonella enterica. Its description in RNAcentral is "partial 23S ribosomal RNA". It matches the Rfam family "Bacterial large subunit ribosomal RNA", at positions 694 to 2624 of the family's 2925-position model. Lineage: Bacteria; Pseudomonadati; Pseudomonadota; Gammaproteobacteria; Enterobacterales; Enterobacteriaceae. The record is from RNAcentral.